This 251-nucleotide ribosomal RNA is filed under the name uncultured bacterium. Its description in RNAcentral is "partial 16S ribosomal RNA". It matches the Rfam family "Bacterial small subunit ribosomal RNA", at positions 86 to 339 of the family's 1533-position model. The record is from RNAcentral.
CGCCGACGACCGGCGCACGGGUGCGUAACGCGUAUACAAUCUACCUUUUGCUACGGGAUAGCCCAGAGAAAUUUGGAUUAAUACCGCAUAGUAUAAAGCCUUGGCAUCAAGGCUUUAUUAAAGGAUACGGCAGAAGAUGAGUAUGCGUUCUAUUAGCUAGAUGGUAAGGUAACGGCUUACCAUGGCUACGAUAGAUAGGGGCCCUGAGAGGGGGAUCCCCCACACUGGUACUGAGACACGGACCAGACUCC